UUCAAGCGAUGGGGUGACGCAGGAAGGUAGCCGUACCAGUCAGUGGUUGUACUGGGGUAAGCCUGUAGGACGACAUCUAGGCAAAUCCGGAUGUCAUAUGUCUGAGAGGUGACGCAUAGCCGAUUGAGGCGAAUUCGGUGAUCCUAUGCUGCCAAGAAAAGCCUCUAGCGAGUGCACACACGGCCCGUACCCCAAACCAACACAGGUGGUCAGGUAGAGAAUACUAAGGCGUACGAGUGAACUAUGGUUAAGGAACUCGGCAAAAUACCCCCGUAACUUCGGGAGAAGGGGGACCCACACACCGUCAACACCCUUGCGGUGGGCAGCGGUAGUGGGUGGCACAAACCAGUGAGAAGCGACUGUUUACUAAAAACACAGGUCCGUGCGAAGUCGCAAGACGAUGUAUACGGACUGACGCCUGCCCGGUGCUGGAAGGUUAAGAGGACCGGUUAGCAGAACUUGUUCUGCGAAGCUGAGAAUUUAAGCCCCAGUAAACGGCGGUGGUAACUAUAACCAUCCUAAGGUAGCGAAAUUCCUUGUCGGGUAAGUUCCGACCUGCACGAAUGGCGUAACGACUUCUCAACUGUCUCAACCAUAGACUCGGCGAAAUUGCACUACGAGUAAAGAUGCUCGUUACGCGCGGCAGGACGAAAAGACCCCGGGACCUUCACUACAACUUGGUAUUGAUGUUCGGUACGGUUUGUGUAGGAUAGGUGGGAGACUGUGAAACUCGCACGCCAGUGUGGGUGGAGUCAUUGUUGAAAUACCACUCUGAUCGUAUUGGACCUCUAACCUCGGACCGUAUAUCCGGUCCAGGAACAGUGCCUGGUGGGUAGUUUAACUGGGGCGGUUGCCUCCUAAAAAGUAACGGAGGCGCCCAAAGGUUCCCUCAACCUGGAUGGCAAUCAGGUGUUGAGUGUAAGUGCACAAGGGAGCUUGACUGCGAGACGUACAUGUCAAGCAGGGACGAAAGUCGGGACUAGUGAUCCGGCACCUCUGAGUGGAAGGGGUGUCGCUCAACGGAUAAAAGGUACCCCGGGGAUAACAGGCUGAUCUUCCCCAAGAGUCCAUAUCGACGGGAUGGCUUGGCACCUCGAUGUCGGCUCGUCGCAUCCUGGGGCUGGAGCAGGUCCCAAGGGUUGGGCUGUUCGCCCAUUAAAGCGGCACGCGAGCUGGGUUUAGAACGUCGUGAGACAGUUCGGUCUCUAUCCGCCGCGCGCGUCAGAAGCUUGAGGAAAGCUGUCCCUAGUACGAGAGGACCGGGACGGACGAACCUCUGGUAUACCAGUUGUCCCACCAGGGGCAUCGCUGGAUGGCUACGUUCGGACAGGAUAACCGCUGAAAGCAUCUAAGCGGGAAACCUUCUCCAAGACCAGGCUUCUCACCCUCUAGGAGGGAUAAGGCCCCCCGCAGACCACGGGAUUGAUAGGC
RNAcentral lists this ribosomal RNA (1431 nucleotides) under metagenome. RNAcentral's name for it is "bacterial LSU rRNA". It matches the Rfam family "Bacterial large subunit ribosomal RNA", at positions 1456 to 2861 of the family's 2925-position model. The record is from RNAcentral.